Molecule: long non-coding RNA, 404 nt
Organism: Zalophus californianus (California sea lion)
Lineage: Eukaryota; Metazoa; Chordata; Mammalia; Carnivora; Otariidae
Exons: 3
Source: RefSeq, a predicted model, not a curated record
GACUUUCUGGCAGAGUGGCAACCGUGUACGGGAUCUGGAAGCCUCCACGUACAUCAGGAGCCCCUUAGGAGACUCUCCCGCUGCCGGCCAUAGGAACCUGUGUUUGCAUUAGGAGGACCUUCACAGAAGAAAUUCUUUUGUUCCUGCUUCUCUUUUUUGCUGAGACAAAGGAAUGAAGACACCAGACUUGGAGCUGCCAGAGCCAUCUUGUGACCAUAAAUGUGACAGCAAACAAAGAUGAAGACAGUCAACAUGCUGAGGACAGCAAAGGAGACAGAUGGAAAGAGGGGUCCUUGACGACAGAGAGGCAGGACAUGGCUCUCACCAACCUCCAAGGCCCGGAUCCACUCCUUAGGUACCUGAGGAAAAAGUCGGUCAUUCUAGUGAACACAGAAUCUCCUCCU